GAUGAACGCUGACAGAAUGCUUAACACAUGCAAGUCAACUUGAACUUCGGUUUGGGUGGCGGACGGGUGAGUCACGCGUAAAGAACUUGCCUCACAGAUAGGGACAACAUUUGGAAACGAAUGCUAAUACCUGAUAUUAUGAUUAUAUGGCAUCGUAUAAUUAUGAAAGCUAUAUGCGCUGUGAGAGAGCUUUGCGUCCCAUUAGCUAGUUGGAGAGGUAACGGCUCACCAAGGCGAUGAUGGGUAGCCGGCCUGAGAGGGUGAUCGGCCACAAGGGGACUGAGACACGGCCCUUACUCCUACGGGAGGCAGCAGUGGGGAAUAUUGGACAAUGGACCAAGAGUCUGAUCCAGCAAUUCUGUGUGCACGAUGAAGUUUUUCGGAAUGUAAAGUGCUUCCAGUUGGGAAGAAAAAAAUGACGGUACCAACAGAAGAAGUGACGGCUAAAUACGUG
RNAcentral lists this ribosomal RNA (454 nucleotides) under uncultured bacterium. RNAcentral's name for it is "partial 16S ribosomal RNA". It matches the Rfam family "Bacterial small subunit ribosomal RNA", at positions 28 to 507 of the family's 1533-position model. The record is from RNAcentral.